UGGGGAAUCUUGGACAAUGGGGGCAACCCUGAUCCAGCCAUGCCGCGUGAGUGAUGAAGGCCUUAGGGUCGUAAAGCUCUUUCGCCUGUGAAGAUAAUGACGGUAGCAGGUAAAGAAACCCCGGCUAACUCCGUGCCAGCAGCCGCGGUAAUACGGAGGGGGUUAGCGUUGUUCGGAAUUACUGGGCGUAAAGCGCACGUAGGCGGACCAGAAAGUUGGGGGUGAAAUCCCGGGGGCUCAACCCCGGAACUGCCUCCAAAACUAUUGGUCUAGAGUUCGAGAGAGGUGAGUGGAAUUCCAAGUGUAGAGGUGAAAUUCGUAGAUAUUUGGAGGAACACCAGUGGCGAAGGCGGCUCACUGGCUCGAUACUGACGCUGAGGUGCGAAAGUGUGGGGAGCAAACAGGAUUAGAUACCCUGGUAGUCCACACCGUAAAACGAUGAAUGCCAGUCGUCGGGUAGCAUGCUAUUCGGUGACACACCUAACGGAUUAAGCAUUCCGCCUGGGGAGU
This 510-nucleotide ribosomal RNA is filed under the name uncultured bacterium. Its description in RNAcentral is "bacterial SSU rRNA". It matches the Rfam family "Bacterial small subunit ribosomal RNA", at positions 355 to 881 of the family's 1533-position model. The record is from RNAcentral.